GAGCAAAGACGUCAAGUUGGCUGAGGCACACCAGCAGGAGUGCUGCCAGAAAUUUGAACAACUUUCCGAAUCUGCAAAAGAAGAACUGAUAAAUUUCAAACGGAAGAGAGUGGCAGCAUUUAGAAAGAAUCUAAUUGAAAUGUCUGAACUGGAAAUAAAACAUGCCAGGAACAAUGUCUCCCUUUUGCAGAGCUGUAUUGACUUGUUCAAGAAUAACUGAUAUGCCUUCACUCAGAAGAAAAGAAAUGAAUGUGAAAGAAAGCCAAGCAUCACUUGCACUUAAAUCAUUACCACGGAAGAUAUAUUAGCUUCAACUUUAGUUUAAAAUUAUGUGAAUAAAUAUUUUGAUUUCUACAAAUCUUAACAUUUAACCAUGUUGGUUUAAAAAUAUUAUUGCUUGCUACUUGGACAUAACUAAUUUUUCCUUGUGCAUUUAAUACCUCUGGGCAGAAUCCAAAUACUGGGUUCUCCCGUAGUUCGUCUUUAGUUACUAAGAAAGGGUGUAGGACACAUUAGCCUUCUGGAAACAAGUAGAAGCCAUCACCUGGCCCAUGUCCCUACAAACCCAUGAUUGUCAGGGAGGUGCCAGUUACAGCAGGUGAUUCAGCUACUUGAGGUCGGUAACAGACCUUCCAUUCCUCACUGAAGGUGGGGUUUGUGUUUUUGUUUUGCCCUGUUACUCCACUGGUAGUCAUCUGGUGUUUGUACUAUAACAACAGCAAGAAAAUCUCAUUUAUCUUUAUAUACUCUUUGCACCUCCUUUUUUUAGUCGAGAUAUAAAUAUUUGAGGGGAGAGAAAUAUCUACAGGUAUAUAUGGAAACAAAUAAUGUGGUCUGCUUUAUAAGAUGGCCAGAUCUACAUUAGGAAAAGUAUAAGCCCCCUCCCUAAUGGCCGCUGGGGGGUGAGGGCGGUGUGUUGUAUGUCUUUGGGUGUUUGUUUUUUUAUAAAGCAUAUAAUAAAAUAAUCGUGCUACU
This 975-nucleotide long non-coding RNA is filed under the name Homo sapiens (human). Its description in RNAcentral is "HSALNT0264891". The record is from RNAcentral. Lineage: Eukaryota; Metazoa; Chordata; Mammalia; Primates; Hominidae.